Molecule: transfer RNA, 65 nt
Filed under: Bacillus rossius
Lineage: Eukaryota; Metazoa; Arthropoda; Insecta; Phasmatodea; Bacillidae
Description: tRNA-Asp
Source: RNAcentral
AGAAAAUUAGUUAAAAUAUAACAUUAGUAUGUCAUACUAAAAUUAUUAAAAUUUAAUAUUUUCUA